Molecule: transfer RNA, 79 nt
Filed under: Caudoviricetes sp.
Lineage: Duplodnaviria; Heunggongvirae; Uroviricota; Caudoviricetes
Description: tRNA-OTHER
Rfam family: tRNA
About the family: Transfer RNA (tRNA) molecules are approximately 80 nucleotides in length.
Source: RNAcentral
GGUGAGUUGGUAUAAUAGGGCGUAUUACACAUAUUAAAUUGAUUAUGUAAUGUAGGUUCGAAUCCUACACUCACCGCCA